Molecule: small nuclear RNA, 105 nt
Organism: Neoarius graeffei (lesser salmon catfish)
Lineage: Eukaryota; Metazoa; Chordata; Actinopteri; Siluriformes; Ariidae
Source: RefSeq, a predicted model, not a curated record
GUGCUUGCUCCAGCAGCACACGUGCGAAAAAUUGGAUCGAUACAGAGAUUAGCAUGGCCCCUGCGAAAGGAUGACAUGCAAAUCCGUGAAGCAUUCCUCAUUUUU